This is a non-coding RNA of Mus caroli (Ryukyu mouse), 1957 nucleotides long. NCBI's taxonomy places the organism in Eukaryota, Metazoa, Chordata, Mammalia, Rodentia, Muridae. The record is from RefSeq and is a predicted model, not a curated record.
GGGCAUCCCUGCUCACUAGGCUGUGAUCAGCACUUCCUGAACAACAGCCCUUACCCCAUUGCAACCCACAGCUUUCAGCUAUGCAAAGGAAGCCAGCAGAAUUGUAGGGCAAGCAAACAGCCCACAGCCACUUGGUAAAGAAGCACUGGUCUGCUUCAAGGUCUGCUACAGCGACAGGCAGGGCCCUCAGUGACAUGGGAAGGGAAGGGUGUGCCUGGCUUUGUCUCUUCUGCUGAGAAGCCUGGGCUGAGCAGAGCAGUAGUGGUAAAUGAUCAGUGGGUGACAAGAACAGUCCCCGCAGCUCUGUGGAGGGUGACUCACAGCCAUGAAGUGGGGACAAGGAGACACAGCCUUGGCUCCCAGGGUGUCUGCCGCCUGUAAGGCUGUGGAUGUGAAUUAUGGGUGGAGAUUUGGGGUUGCUGCUUUUUGACAGGCCCGGCUCUACUUACUGUGUGAUGGUGAGCCAACCACAGGACCUCUCUGAUUCUUUCCUCAUCUGUGAGACUGGGGAAACAGGCCUGGCUCUUUGGAAAGGCUCUCCGUGAGGACAAUGUGUCAGACAGUGGCAGGACACAGUAAGUAACUUACUGCGAGUUGGCCAUGCUCCACGCUGAGAUCAUCUGGUGGGUGGGUGGAGCUAAGGAGAUACUCUGCUAAGAUCUGCCUCCCCAUUCUGAGCCUGGAGUCCUCCUCAGGAGACUGAAGACUUGUCAGCGCUCCUGAUGAUCCCUCCAGCUUAACACCCAGAGGACCAGAACCAAGACCCCAGAACAGAAGAGGAAAGCAAAGGGCAAACCCCUAGGGUGUGCCCAGAGGGACCACAAGGGCAGCUGCUGUCAAUCUCUCCCAUGCUCCAGCCGGAGGAUACUGUUCACGUCACAGAUGAGGACCACCACGUCUUUUGGAUGUUAGAAAGAACAGAAGAGCCAAGAAUGGAGUGUGUACUUGUAAUCCUAUCAGGUCAGGAGCAUGAAGAGUUCAAGGCCAAGUGUUUUGGGUAGUUCUUUUUGUCAUCUUGAUACAAGCUAGAGUCUCCCAGGAAGAUGGAUGCUCAAUUGAGAAAAUGUCUAAACAGACUCACCCGUGGAACUGAGACUGAGGGAAGCAACCAAUCAUUUGUAGCCACUCAGUGGUGGAGGCUUGAACUCACAGAGCAUCAUCCCACAUUCCUCACCAGAUGGAUGAGCCAGUGGCCCCCGACUAGCAGAUGCCACACCUAGUUCUGGAACUGUGCGGCGGUGAACAGUGACACUUCACCAGCCCAGACCCUCUCAUCCAGCACUGCAGAGGAGCUCUCCCCUGGGAACUGCUAGCCAUGACUUGGAGACCCUGGUUCUGGUCCUCUGCCCCUUCCCUUGCUCCCGGCCUGGAAGGAAUCACCGGCCAAGCCCAAGGCCACCACUUAAGGCUGAGGCCAAGGAGCAUCCCAGUUUGUGGAGUUGACAGUUGCUUUGGGCAAGCUGCAAGCAAACAGCUGUGACUUCAGUCCCCAAAGCUCCCCCUUCUCCUUACCUGUGUCAACAUUUUUAUUUUUUAAAGCAAUACAGCCAAGGUGGGGGUUGGGAGUGGGCAAUGGGGAGGGAGGGAGCCAGGGCCUCUAUCAGCUCUGGGGUCCUUGCAUAUGUAACACUGUCGUAUAAUUAACAGUGAAGAUCAUUUACAUUGUCGCUUAGCUAAUUUUCAUAAUGUUUUCUUUAUUAUCAGAGGAAGAAAUUAACCCAAGAAUUUAUUUACAUAGCAGCCUCAAACAGUAACAGCUUGCUAAUUGCCUGUUAGGUGAUUAAUAAGCUUACAGCAGAUGCUAAUGCGUCGUGGGCUCCCGUUUCAAAGGUGCUCUUCCUGCACGCCUGUGUUUUUGGCAGCUUAAUUAGUGCAAUAAUUAUGUACUUGUUGCUCCUUCUUUCGAGCAAAUACUGUCAAAUGCUUAAAAGAUUAAAGUGAAUUAUAUCCUGAGAAC